Molecule: long non-coding RNA, 749 nt
Organism: Neofelis nebulosa (Clouded leopard)
Lineage: Eukaryota; Metazoa; Chordata; Mammalia; Carnivora; Felidae
Exons: 2
Source: RefSeq, a predicted model, not a curated record
UAGAAGGAAAGGAAAAACCCAUGAAAAUGUCAAGUACAGCCAGAUCAAUGAUGAGAUAGAGUUCGUCAAACUUCACCUGGCUUAGAGGGCCUUAAAUAAAUAACACACAGUCUCAAAACGCACACAGCAGGACUUUAAUAAAUGAUGCACCCAUGAUUCGAUGGAUGAAUAGAGCUGGGAACCAGAGAAAGUACAACAUAGACGCUCGAGACAAAUGGAGUAUGCGAUAGGAAGGAAACCAGGUUGAGGGCCGAAACUGCCAACGGGAGGUACUCGGAGUUGAUGGGAAAGUUCACAGCUCAUCUAUCAAAUCCCACCAUGACACAGCGUUGCUAUGCCAUCAGUUCCUGUGCAAUCAGAAACCAUCACUGGCCUACACCCAAAGCAACAAAAAGAAGACAGAUAUUAACAUCUGAAACAGAAAUCAACAUCAGCACAAUUUGAAUCAUUCUUACUAGGUGAACUGGUGAACCAGUUAGCAGUUUCCAGAAAGCCUGAAGACACUUUUUGCUCACGGUUUUUUUUUUUCCUUCCCUUCUCUCUCUCCAACCCAACACAUACUAGAAAUUACGAGUGUGCAAUUAUUAUUUUUUUUUAAUUUCAGUUCUUUUUAUUCUGACUAUAUAGAAAUGUGCUUAAUUGGGCUUUUGUAAUUCAGAGAGAGUGAACAGAUGGAGGAAGGAAAAUUAUUAACUAAAUUUCCCCACCUCAUUGAUUGAGCCCAUCACAAUGAAGAUUAGAAAACUUGA